GCAGCCGCGGUAAUACGUAGGGUGCGAGCGUUAAUCGGAAUUACUGGGCGUAAAGCGUGCGCAGGCGGCUUUGCAAGACAGAGGUGAAAUCCCCGGGCUCAACCUGGGAACUGCCUUUGUGACUGCAAGGCUAGAGUACGGCAGAGGGGGAUGGAAUUCCGCGUGUAGCAGUGAAAUGCGUAGAUAUGCGGAGGAACACCAAUGGCGAAGGCAAUCCCCUGGGCCUGUACUGACGCUCAUGCACGAAAGCGUGGGGAGCAAACAGGAUUAAAUACCCUGGUGGUCCACGCCCUAAACGAUGUCAACUGGUUGUUGGACGGCUUGCUGUUCAGUAACGAAGCUAACGCGUGAAGUUGACCGCCUGGGGAGUACGGCCGCAAGGUUGAGACUCAAAGGAAUUGACGGGGACCCGCACAAGCGGUGGAUGAUGUGGUUUAAUUCGAUGCAACGCGAAAAACCUUACCUACCCUUGACAUGUCAAGAAUCUUGCAGAGAUGUGAGGGUGCUCGAAAGAGAACUUGAACACAGGUGCUGCAUGGCCGUCGUCAGCUCGUGUCGUGAGAUGUUGGGUUAAGUCCCGCAACGAGCGCAACCCUUGUCAUCAGUUGCUACGAAAGGGCACUCUGAUGAGACUGCCGGUGACAAACCGGAGGAAGGUGGGGAUGACGUCAGGUCCUCAUGGCCCUUAUGGGUAGGGCUACACACGUCAUACAAUGGCCGGUACAGAGGGCUGCCAACCCGCGAGGGGGAGCCAAUCCCAGAAAACCGGUCGUAGUCCGGAUCGCAGUCUGCAACUCGACUGCGUGAAGUCGGAAUCGCUAGUAAUCGCGGAUCAGCUUGCCGCGG
Molecule: ribosomal RNA, 846 nt
Filed under: uncultured freshwater bacterium
Lineage: Bacteria
Description: bacterial SSU rRNA
Rfam family: Bacterial small subunit ribosomal RNA
Source: RNAcentral